GGGGAUGAUUGGCUUCGAUGAAAGUCAAUUUCUUAAUAAGCAAGACGAGUUUAAUCGAACACUCGUUAAAGAUCGAUUAAGAUAAUAAAUGUCAAUUUAUUUUCAAAGGCAAGGAACGCGGUAGCUUCGCUAUUUAGCGCUCCGAACCUGGCUUUAGCUGUCGCCUAAAUAAUUAGUCAGCAGCCGUUCAAACCUUUGAUUUCUGAUAGAGGGAUUUGAAUGUCAUUUUUCAGGAUAAGCGGACAAAAUUAUCUCGCUUUGACCGCCGACAACUUAGGGGUAAGAAUUAGAAAUUUUUGCUUAGUUUAUUAAACUAAGAUAAUCUUGUAGAAUUAUUAAGAAUCAACUUUUAGACGCGGGUUCAAUUCCCGCCAUCUCCACUC
RNAcentral lists this transfer-messenger RNA (383 nucleotides) under Patescibacteria group bacterium. It matches the Rfam family "transfer-messenger RNA". From Rfam's summary of the family: Bacterial tmRNA, also known as 10Sa RNA or SsrA, is named for its dual tRNA and mRNA-like properties. Its role is to liberate the mRNA from a stalled ribosome. To accomplish this part of the tmRNA is used as a reading frame that ends in a translation stop signal. The record is from RNAcentral. RNAcentral also lists the same sequence under 2 other names.